Molecule: transfer RNA, 27 nt
Filed under: Trachylepis cf. varia clade B
Lineage: Eukaryota; Metazoa; Chordata; Lepidosauria; Squamata; Scincidae
Description: partial tRNA-Cys
Source: RNAcentral
AGCCCUGGAACACCUUUAGGGGUUCGU